RNAcentral lists this long non-coding RNA (315 nucleotides) under Brassica napus (rape). Its description in RNAcentral is "long non-coding RNA (BNAP_LNC020211)". Lineage: Eukaryota; Viridiplantae; Streptophyta; Magnoliopsida; Brassicales; Brassicaceae. The record is from RNAcentral.
CCAUUCUUCUUCUACUGCUGUCGUGGCUUCAACUACUGCUCUUGUAGCUUCAACUCCUACUCUUGCAGCUUCAACUUCCGCUCUUGUAGCUUCAACUUCCACUCUUACUUCUGUUCCUUCAUACCCAUGCUCUAAAUUCUCAUGCAUCUCAAUGUCUUCACGUUGUUCGGCUGUGUAAAGCGCGACCACGCCAUCCAUCUCAUGAUCCUGAUCAAUUCCAUCUUCCUCUGUCCCAUCAGAAAGACUAACAUAACUAUCAUCAGUUUCAUCAUCAUCUCCAUCAGAAAGACCAACAUAGCUAUCAUCAGUUUCAUC